AAUGAAACUUGAAACUGAAAAAUUACUCACCUUUAGGCUGUCCAAGAUGUAGACGAGAUUGUUUCUUUUUUAAACAGAUUUGGAGAAAUUUAGUAUUACAUCACUUGCUCACCAAUGGAUCUGCUGCAGUGAAUGGGUGCCGUCAGAAUGAGAGUCCAAAUGGCUGAUAAAAACUAUCACAAUAAUCCACACAACUCCAAUUCAUCAAUUAAGUGUAUCUGUAAUAUAGUUCUCUCCAGUGAAAAAGUGAAAUACGCUCAGAUCAGUUUACAAGCAAAUACAGUCCAAAACAGUUCUAAAGAAAUAUGUCUGUGAAUUCUGAUGCAAGAGGACAACAGGGACAGUUAAUUAGAUUAUUGUGAUGUCUUUAUCAGAUGUUUGGACUCUCAUUCUGACGGCACCCAUUCACUGCAGAGGAUCCAUUGGUGAGCAAGUGAUGUAAUGCUACAUUUGUUCUGAUGAUCUUGGAUGGCUUGAGGGUGGGUAAUGUUUUUUUGUGAACCGUUCCUUUGAGGUUUUUUGGUGUAACAGAAGCCAAAACACAAGAUCCAGUGUUUUGUCAUUUGAAUAAAGAUUUAUUAAUAGAGCAUUGUUGAUAUAACAAUACUGAGAGAUGAUUUAACAGUGUUCAAGGAAGGUGUUUGUUUUAUAAAAGAGGGACAAAUGUGUUUCUAUUGGCAGACAUCACUAAGAGUUUUUAAAUCGAAAUCAUCUACAAUACUGAUUGAUAGAAAUAAAGACAUUAAAAAAAUCA
This is a long non-coding RNA of Carassius carassius (crucian carp), 754 nucleotides long. RefSeq lists it as uncharacterized. The transcript has 2 exons. NCBI's taxonomy places the organism in Eukaryota, Metazoa, Chordata, Actinopteri, Cypriniformes, Cyprinidae. The record is from RefSeq and is a predicted model, not a curated record.